RNAcentral lists this ribosomal RNA (497 nucleotides) under uncultured bacterium. RNAcentral describes it as "partial 16S ribosomal RNA". It matches the Rfam family "Bacterial small subunit ribosomal RNA", at positions 28 to 507 of the family's 1533-position model. The record is from RNAcentral.
GAUGAACGCUGGCGGCGUGCCUAAUACAUGCAAGUCGAGCGAACAGACGAGGAGCUUGCUCCUCUGACGUUAGCGGCGGACGGGUGAGUAACACGUGGAUAACCUACCUAUAAGACUGGGAUAACUUCGGGAAACCGGAGCUAAUACCGGAUAAUAUAUUGUACCGCAUGGUUCAAUAGUGAAAGACGGUUUUGCUGUCACAUAUAGAUGGAUCCGCGUCGCAUUAGCUAGUUGGUAAGUUAACGGCUUACCAAGGCGACGAUGCGUAGCCGACCUGGGAGGGUGAUCGGCCACACUGGAACUGAGACACGGUCCAGACUCCUACGGGAGGCAGCAGUAGGGAAUCUUCCGCAAUGGGCGAAAGCCUGACGGAGCAACGCCGCGUGAGGGAUGAGGGUCUUCGGAUCGUAAAACUCUGUUAUUAGGGAAGAACAAAUGUGUAAGUAACUAUGCACGUCUUGACGGUACCUAAUCAGAAAGCCACGGCUAACUACGUG